This 445-nucleotide ribosomal RNA is filed under the name uncultured bacterium. RNAcentral describes it as "bacterial SSU rRNA". It matches the Rfam family "Bacterial small subunit ribosomal RNA", at positions 354 to 796 of the family's 1533-position model. The record is from RNAcentral.
GUAGGGAAUAUUGGGCAAUGGAUGCAAGUCUGACCCAGCCAUCCCGCGUGCCGGAAGAAGGCCCUCAGGGUUGUAAACGGCUUUUGACGGUGAAGAACCGACAGGAUGCGUCCUGUUUUGACGGUAGCCGUUGAAUAAGCACCGGCUAACUCCGUGCCAGCAGCCGCGGUACUACGGAGGGUGCGAGCGUUGUCCGGAUUUAUUGGGUUUAAAGGGUGCGUAGGCUGGAAGGUCAGUCAGCGGUGAAAAGCUAUCGCUUAACGAUAGUCUUGCCGCAGAUACUUCCUUUCUUGGAUGAGGAGGAGGCCACUGGAACGGAUGGUGUAGCGGUGAAAUGCAUAGAUAUCAUCCAGAACACCGAUUGCGAAGGCAGGUGGCUGUACCUUAAUCGACGCUGAUUCACGAAAGCAUGGGGAGCAAACAGGAUUAGAAACCCGUGUAGUCC